This 492-nucleotide ribosomal RNA is filed under the name uncultured bacterium. RNAcentral describes it as "partial 16S ribosomal RNA". It matches the Rfam family "Bacterial small subunit ribosomal RNA", at positions 29 to 507 of the family's 1533-position model. The record is from RNAcentral.
AGUGAACGCUGGCGGUAGGCCUAACACAUGCAAGUCGAACGGCAGCACAGUAAGAGCUUGCUCUUACGGGUGGCGAGUGGCGGACGGGUGAGGAAGACAUCGGAAUCUACUUUUUCGUGGGGGAUAACGUAGGGAAACUUACGCUAAUACCGCAUACGACCUACGGGUGAAAGCAGGGGAUCUUCGUACCUUGCGCGAUUGAAUGAGCCGAUGUCGGAUUAGCUAGUUGGCGGGGUAAAGGCCCACCAAGGCGACGAUCCGUAGCUGGUCUGAGAGGAUGAUCAGCCACACUGGAAGUGGGACACGGUCCAGACUCCUACGGGGAGAAGCAGUGGGCAAUAUUGGACGAUGGGCGCAAGCCUGAUCCAGCCAUACCGCGUGGGUGAAGAAGGCCUUCGGGUUGUAAAGCCCUUUUGUUGGGAAAGAAAAGCAGCAGGUUAAUACCCCGCUGUUCUGACGGUACCCAAAGAAUAAGCACCGGCUAACUUCGUG